GUAAAGGUCGGGUUUCAGGAGAAUGGUGAGGAAUGGGAUGAUGACUAGAGAGGCAGUCGAGCUGGCAGAGGAUAGAGGGACAGAGAGCCAGUCAGGGCGGCUCUCACGAGCGGGACCACCUGCUCCUCCUCCUGACCAUGGCUGGAGCCUGGGUCCCUGAAGUCACCAGACCUGCAGUUCUGUUGAUUUUUGACACAGGAUCAAAGAAGCCCAUGCUCCUUCAACCAGAGCUGAGACCUGCACCAGUGCUGGAGAGCAAGAAUUCCAAACUUCAAAACUAAGCAGUCUCUGAAGAAUGGAGAUGGCAGGCGUUCUGCUCCCUUACAGCAGCUGGUAGAAUCAAGACCCAUGGGUCCAUGGAGGAAAAGGGGAAGAGCCUCUGUCCUUUGGACCCCUGAUCCCGGGGUUUCCUCUCACACUCCCAUCAUCGCCGUCUCCUCUGUGUGCUGUGCUUAUCAGCCCUGUGGGCUCCAUGGACAUCUCAUGUGCCUGGGAGGCUGCUCUCCUUGUCCUGUGGAUCCAGUUCUUGGCAGCCCCACUCUCAGGAGCACAGGAGUCCUGAGAGCCUCCUUCUGCCCAUCCAGAUGCCCACACACCUGACCAGGAGUGCACUGCUUGUUCUGACAUAAAAAAUGUGAGUUUUCUUCAGUUGUCUCUCGAUGUUGUCUUAUUUAAUAAAGAAACAGCCUUCAGCCAUGCCAGGCAGCCAUGGACUGGAAGCUUCUGCAGCUUGCUCGGGUAGAGCUGUUCCUCCUGGAGCCCUAACAAAGCCCUCCGUUCCCCUUAUGAACCCCCUGCCAUGGCCAUCUUCAGCUCCCCUUGGGGACUGUUCCAGAGAACAAAUCUAAGGACAGAGGCUGAACCUCCCUGGAGCAAGCCUGGCUCUACGGGUGGCUGACUCCCUUAGAGGAGCCGUGCUCCGAGUUUUCAGAAGGAAACUGCAUGUCUUUAAUACAAACACAGGUGUGUCUGUAAUGUUUCUAAAUGGAAAAGGAGUGUUUGCCCUCAGGCAUCCUUGAUGGGACAAUGGACAGCAGCCUCGGUGAAGGUGUGGCUGGGACUCCCAGGGUGUCUGCUCCCUCUGUGUAUGGGCUGGGCUCCCUAAUCCCUGCAAGGAGUCCCAAAGCCAUGGAGUAGAGAGCCUUUGCAGCUGCCCUAGAGCCUGAGAGGCC
Molecule: long non-coding RNA, 1172 nt
Filed under: Homo sapiens (human)
Lineage: Eukaryota; Metazoa; Chordata; Mammalia; Primates; Hominidae
Description: HSALNT0170260
Source: RNAcentral